Molecule: transfer RNA, 77 nt
Filed under: Pseudobdellovibrionaceae bacterium
Lineage: Bacteria; Pseudomonadati; Bdellovibrionota; Bdellovibrionia; Bdellovibrionales; Pseudobdellovibrionaceae
Description: Bdellovibrionaceae bacterium (bioreactor metagenome) tRNA-Arg
Rfam family: tRNA
About the family: Transfer RNA (tRNA) molecules are approximately 80 nucleotides in length.
Source: RNAcentral
GGCUCCAUAGCUCAAUUGGAUAGAGCACGUCCCUUCUAAGGACGGGGUUCCAAGUUCGAUUCUUGGUGGAGUCACCA